UGGGAUGCAUGAUGCGCAUCAGUAAGUCCCUUUGAUUUGCUGUUUUGUUACUAUUGUCAUUUUUGUUAUGAUUGUACUACUGUUACUGUUAUCAUAGGAUCUGAACUCAUAGAAAAAUACGCAUGCAUGGAUAUUUUUUACUUUGUUUAAUCAGACUGGCUUAAGCAGGUAGGUUGAAUGUAGGAAAUAUGUAGUUAGGCAGAUCUAGUUAUUUUAUCAAUUUUAAAAUUGAAGAUUUAAAUGCAUUUUUCUGGACGAAUCAGGAGAUUUACACGACCUUUCAUUUUCUGCUUUGAUACUUGUUCCAAUUGGACUAUGAAUUUAUGGAGCUGUUGUAAGUAGCAAGUAGACAUUGAUUCUCAUGAGUUAUAUUUUUGAUCGAGCUAAUUGUAUGUAAUAUAAUCAUGGUUUAUAUAUCAGUAACUUGAACUUGAGUACUCAUUGGGCAUAAACGAUUGUAAAUAAACCUGAAAUGGCAGUGUGAAUCUCAUAAGAUUUCUGCUACUCUUUAUAAUUCUCAACAUUCUUUGUUCUUCAGUUGAUUUCAGAACUAAAAUUUUACUGUCUUUUGUUUAUUUAUGCUGUUUAUAUGACCAAUGUUAGUAUUCUUUUCUCCUUUACAGGUGUCAUAUUUGCUUGAUUGACUAUGAGGAAGGGGAUAAAAUUAGAGUUCUUCCAUGUUCACAUGAAUAUCAUAUGUUAUGUGUUGAUAAAUGGCUCAAAGAAGUACAUGGGGUAUGUCCUCUCUGCAGAGAUGAUGUUUGCAAGGGUGUUGCUGAAGGUUCUACCUCAAACCCCGAGAUUCCAGCUCUUUGAUGCAUAUGUAUAUAAACAUGUAGAUGAAGUCAAAACUUUUUUCUUGAAAUGGCAUUCGACCUGUGAGAUUUAUACAACUUGCAGUGUAUAAUAUGCCAUUUAUGGUAUAGUACUUUUGGAUAUGAGAUUUACUAUUCAUAUAUAUGUUUUGCGGAUUAUGGUUGCAAUUAAAAAGCUAUGGAUUAGGUUUUUGAAAUGUAUGAUAUUUCAUCUCAUUCUGAUAUGUGUGCCCCCAUAAACAUUGUUUAUUUAUAGCUUUUAUGCUAUCUUGACUAAUAUGUGAAUUUAUU
This 1106-nucleotide unclassified non-coding RNA is filed under the name Hevea brasiliensis (rubber tree). Lineage: Eukaryota; Viridiplantae; Streptophyta; Magnoliopsida; Malpighiales; Euphorbiaceae. The record is from RNAcentral.